Long non-coding RNA from Vidua chalybeata, 467 nucleotides. RefSeq lists it as uncharacterized. The record is from RefSeq and is a predicted model, not a curated record. Lineage: Eukaryota; Metazoa; Chordata; Aves; Passeriformes; Viduidae. The transcript is spliced from 3 exons.
CUGGGCCAUGUGACAUUCUCACAAAUGUCACAAUAGGAGAACAGUUCUGUCUCCAUGGCAGUGCUGCUGUUCUGCUGUCAGCAUCACAGGCUUCCUCUCCCUCUCUGGAGAUCACCUUAGAGAAAGUAUUUGCUGAAGACAUGAGGGCUGACCUGGAGAGACCUCACUGGUACUUUCUGGCUUUUGAAACCACCCCAGUACAGAAGUGAGGUGGAGUGGCACAGGAGCAGCUGAGAGCAGGGAUUGGCUUUUGUGCAGCACACAGGAAACAGCACAAGGCACCCUUGCCAGAGCCAAGGUCUGUCAGACCCAGAGUGCUGCAGCUGCAGCAGCUUUGCUUCACAGCAUCACCGUGUGAGAUGGAGAGACCCUCUGGAUGUGCUUCACUGCCAGGGAGCGUGGCAGGAGGCUCCUGCAGCUUGGCAGGAUGGAAAAGCUCCCCCCAACUCUGCCAGUCUGGGACAUAC